RNAcentral lists this ribosomal RNA (390 nucleotides) under uncultured bacterium. RNAcentral's name for it is "partial 16S ribosomal RNA". It matches the Rfam family "Bacterial small subunit ribosomal RNA", at positions 355 to 752 of the family's 1533-position model. The record is from RNAcentral.
UGGGGAAUAUUGCACAAUGGGCGAAAGCCUGAUGCAGCAACGCCGCGUGAGUGAUGAAGGCCUUCGGGUUGUAAAGCUCUGUCUUUUGGGACGAUAAUGACGGGUACCAAAGGAGGAAGCCACGGCUAACUACGUGCCAGCAGCCGCGGUAAUACGGUAGGUGGCAAGCGUUUGUCCGGGAUUUUACUGGGGCGUAAAAGGAUGCGUAGGCGGAUUUUUCAAGUGAGAUGUGAAAUACCCGGGCUUAACUUGGGUGCUGCAUUUCAAACUGGGAAUCUAGAGUGCGGGAGAGGAGAAUGGAAUUCCUAGUGUAGCGGUGAAAUGCGUAGAGAUUAGGAAGAACACCAGUGGCGAAAGGGCGAUUCUCUGGACCGUAACUGACGCUGAGGC